This 253-nucleotide ribosomal RNA is filed under the name uncultured bacterium. RNAcentral's name for it is "partial 16S ribosomal RNA". It matches the Rfam family "Bacterial small subunit ribosomal RNA", at positions 524 to 776 of the family's 1533-position model. The record is from RNAcentral.
UACGGGGGGGGCAAGCGUUGUUCGGAAUUACUGGGCGUAAAGGGCUCGUAGGCGGCCAACUAAGUCAGACGUGAAAUCCCUCGGCUUAACCGGGGAACUGCGUCUGAUACUGGAUGGCUAGAGGUUGGGAGAGGGAUGCGGAAUUCCAGGUGUAGCGGUGAAAUGCGCAGAUAUCAGGAGGAACACCAAUGGCGAAGGCAGCACUCUGGGACGGUACUGACGCUGAGACGCGAAAGCGUGGGGAGCAAACAGG